GUGAGGGGUGGGGGGAGGGAGGGGAACCGACGACAGCCGACUCCUUAGCACGGCCACCCUAACCCCUCCAUCUGCAGUCCCUUGAAGCCCGGCUCCCCUGCCCUCCACCGAUAAUUCUCCGGCCCCCACCCUAGGCCGGAGUGGUCCCCAGUGGUCCCGGUGGCCUCAUCCCCUCAGGAGUGGAGGGGGCGCAGUGGGAGUGUCAGGCACACGCCCCCUGCCUCCUCCGCUGCUGUCCGGCUCAGCCUCCGCCCCUCCUGGGGCCUCUGCGCUCACCUGGUACAACCACUGCCACUGGAAGGGCACGACCACCCGCAGCAGGAUGGCGAUGAUCCGUGUGAAGUAGAUGUAGCAGAUGACCUGCAGAGACGGGGCACCUGCAGUGGGAUCACUAUCCCGAAGAUCUUCUUCUCCUUGUCCGACAGCACGUACUUGACGAAGGCCCAGCCGGAGCCGAUCAAGGCGAUGGUGAUGAAGAGGAGGGCACCCUUCAGCCUGGUGGAGGGAGAGGAUGGACACCCAGAAGAUGCCGGCGCCCAGGAAGCAGGCGGACAUGACCAUGUACAGCUUGAAAAGAGGGAUUUCCGCCGCUGACAGAUUUCCUGUCUCCCUGAGCACAUGGGGUACCUGGCCUGCCGCGAGGGCUCCAUGAACCCACUGCCCUCCCCCUCCGCUCACCGUGAUGUCAAACGGCUGCUCCUGGCCUGGCACCGAGUUGUCACAGUUGUGGAAGUU
This is a long non-coding RNA of Dama dama (fallow deer), 735 nucleotides long. RefSeq lists it as uncharacterized. Lineage: Eukaryota; Metazoa; Chordata; Mammalia; Artiodactyla; Cervidae. The transcript is spliced from 4 exons. The record is from RefSeq and is a predicted model, not a curated record.